This 765-nucleotide ribosomal RNA is filed under the name uncultured Streptococcus sp. RNAcentral's name for it is "bacterial SSU rRNA". It matches the Rfam family "Bacterial small subunit ribosomal RNA", at positions 28 to 776 of the family's 1533-position model. Lineage: Bacteria; Bacillati; Bacillota; Bacilli; Lactobacillales; Streptococcaceae. The record is from RNAcentral.
GACGAACGCUGGCGGCGUGCCUAAUACAUGCAAGUAGAACGCUGAAGAGAGGAGCUUGCUCUUCUUGGAUGAGUCGCGAACGGGUGAGUAACGCGUAGGUAACCUGCCUGGUAGCGGGGGAUAACUAUUGGAAACGAUAGCUAAUACCGCAUAAAAUGGAUUAUCGCAUGAUAAUCCAUUGAAAGGUGCAAAUGCAUCACUACCAGAUGGACCUGCGUUGUAUUAGCUAGUUGGUGGGGUAACGGCUCACCAAGGCGACGAUACAUAGCCGACCUGAGAGGGUGAUCGGCCACACUGGGACUGAGACACGGCCCAGACUCCUACGGGAGGCAGCAGUAGGGAAUCUUCGGCAAUGGACGGAAGUCUGACCGAGCAACGCCGCGUGAGUGAAGAAGGUUUUCGGAUCGUAAAGCUCUGUUGUAAGAGAAGAACGAGUGUGAGAGUGGAAAGUUCACACUGUGACGGUAUCUUACCAGAAAGGGACGGCUAACUACGUGCCAGCAGCCGCGGUAAUACGUAGGUCCCGAGCGUUGUCCGGAUUUAUUGGGCGUAAAGCGAGCGCAGGCGGUUAGAUAAGUCUGAAGUUAAAGGCUGUGGCUUAACCAUAGUACGCUUUGGAAACUGUUUAACUUGAGUGCAAGAGGGGAGAGUGGAAUUCCAUGUGUAGCGGUGAAAUGCGUAGAUAUAUGGAGGAACACCGGUGGCGAAAGCGGCUCUCUGGCUUGUAACUGACGCUGAGGCUCGAAAGCGUGGGGAGCAAACAGG